Molecule: ribosomal RNA, 495 nt
Filed under: uncultured bacterium
Lineage: Bacteria
Description: partial 16S ribosomal RNA
Rfam family: Bacterial small subunit ribosomal RNA
Source: RNAcentral
GAUGAACGCUGGCGGCGUGCUUAACACAUGCAAGUCGAACGAAGCACCUCUCCCGAAGAUUGACACAGCUUGCUGUAGAUUGAUUCAUUUGAGGUGACUGAGUGGCGGACGAGUGAGUAACGCGUGGGUAACCUGCCUCAUAGAGGGGGACAACAGUUGGAAACGACUGCUAAUACCGCAUAGUAAGAAGAAUUCGCAUGUUUUCUUCUUGAAAGAUUUAUCGCUAUGAGAUGGACCCGCGUCUGAUUAGCUAGUUGGUAAGGUAACGGCUUACCAAGGCGACGAUCAGUAGCCGGCUUGAGAGAGUGAACGGCCACAUUGGGACUGAGACACGGCCCAAACUCCUACGGGAGGCAGCAGUGGGGAAUAUUGCACAAUGGGGGAAACCCUGAUGCAGCGACGCCGCGUGAGUGAAGAAGUAUUUCGGUAUGUAAAGCUCUAUCAGCAGGGAAGAUAAUGACGGUACCUGACUAAGAAGCCCCGGCUAACUACGUG